Molecule: RNA transcript, 2398 nt
Organism: Zea mays
Lineage: Eukaryota; Viridiplantae; Streptophyta; Magnoliopsida; Poales; Poaceae
Exons: 13
Source: RefSeq, marked predicted
ACGAGCAUUAUACUGCCAUAAAUUUCUUAGAGCUGAUAAAAUACAUACUGCGCGUUGCAAGCUCCCACUUCCUGAGGAACAGGAACUCCAUGAGAUCCGCGGCAUCCGCCGUCCCGUUCAUCUGCACAAAAAGACCGUAAUCCUUCUUUUUCCUCUCCUCCCCAUCCGCGGAGUGUAAAUCGUCUCUCGCUAGCGCGUUCAGUAGAAACCCUAAACCCCGCCUCCUCCCCUCGCCGGGGUAGGGGCUACGGGUGUCAACGCCCGCCAUGGACGCAUUCCGGAAGCAACUGGAUGUGCUCAUGGGCGCUAACCGCAACGGCGACGUCGAGGAGGUGAGCCGCAACUACUACGACCGCGACGUCUGCCGGCUCUUCCUCGCCGGCCUUUGCCCCCACGACCUCUUCCAGCUCACGAAAAUGGAUCUUGGUCCUUGUUCUAAGAUUCACUCGCUUCAACUGCGGAAAGAUUAUGAAGAAGCGAAAGCAAAGGGAACAGAGAAUUUUGACAGAGAACUCGAGGAUAUGAUAGAAAGGCUCAUUGUGGAGUGCGACAGGAAAAUUCAGAGGGCCCUGAAACGACUUGCGGAUGACGAUGCCAAGGCUGCUAUUGCGAUAUCCGUCUCGGAGGUUACUCUGACGGAUGACAUACUGCAGCUGUCAAAACAGAUCAAGGAAAAAAUGGUAGAAGUUGAUGCCUUUGAUUUUGAAGGGAGAACUGAUGAUAAAAUAAAGGCCCAGGAAGUAGUGGAAGAACUCAGAACUAAAAGAGCUGAUAUGCAGGCUACCCUCUUGCUUGAUGCUUUUAACAAGGACAGAGCUUCAUUAACUCAGCCUGCUCAACCUCCUCAAGUGGCGGCAGCGCCACCACCAGCUCCACCCGAUGCUCGUACUCAAGAAAUGAUCAAUGAAAAGCUUAAGAAAGCUGAAGAGCUUGGGGAACAAGGCAUGGUUGAUGAAGCUCAGAAAGCUUUGGAAGAGGCAGAAGCUCUGAAAAAGCUGGCGCGACGUCCGGAGCCACCUUCAGACCCUUCUAAAUAUACUGCCGCUGAUGUUUGGAUUACCGAUCAAAAGUUGCGCCUCUGUGAUAUAUGUGGAGCAUUUCUGAGUGUAUAUGACAAUGAUCGACGUCUUGCUGACCAUUUUGGAGGGAAACUGCAUCUAGGCUACAUGCUGAUUCGUGACAAACAGAAAGAACUUCAGGUGCUGAGUGUAAUGUACCGUUUUCUGCUUUAAAGAGUUACUCUGUUUUGGGCCUUUUGGCAUCUGUGAGUUUUCUUAUCUCAAGAGCCUCAAGGUUCUCACCUUCCCUCUAUAUAUUAUUUGAUUCUCACAUUGCCGGGCACUAUGGUUAUUACGAUAGUCAUUACAGGAAUUAGUCCAUGUCGCGUGAUUGGAAUCUCAUGCGAUGAUCUUCAUACCUAUGGCUACAACAGUCACUGUCUGUUGACAAAUGUAAGCAUAGGAGCGUGCGGACCAUGGUAUGAAAAAAAUCAUGUUUACUUAAUUGUGACAAACUGCUCAUGUGUCUGCUUAGUAUCGAUUGUUGGGCAGAAGCUGGAGGUUGCCUUUUUACUGCCUGAGCCAUAUUAUGUAGACCAGGUGACAAAUAAUACUGGUUAAGUUAUCCUGAAAGCACACUUCUUUUGCCAACAUUUUGCUGUAAGUGACAACUUGUUCUGUUUUCUAUCUGCUACCUCCUCCAUAAGUUUGCAAGUUACAUUUUGCUGAAGCAACCUUGCCUGUAAAGUAUCGCCCGCCCUAUCUUUUGGAACGUUGUCUCUGAUUUUAAAUAUGCCAAAAUAUCAUUAUCUGUACUGUCAAUAAACAAAAUACACUGUGGCAUCUUGCAGGAGCAGAGAAACAAAAGGAGGACAGGCAAAACUGAAGAUGAUAGGCGAUCUAGAGAGCAGAGCAAGGAUCGAAACGGCCCGCCGUCCAGGGAUAGAGAUUCAGAAAGGAGAGACAGGGUUGAGUCUCGAGAUGGAAGAAGAGAUUAUGAUAGGGAACGCGAUAGGCGUCACGAUAGGGACCGUCGCCAUGACCGCGACCGGGAUAGGGAUUAUGACCGCUCCCGCGGAUAUGACUCAAGGAGAAGAGAGCGUUCACGCUCCAGGGAGCGCAGCAGGCGCCAUGAGAGAUACUAAAUGUUACUCCAUGGCUGACAGAUUUUGGAUUGCUGGCGUCUGUUCUGGUUUGUGUUGUGCUUUGUGUCUUAUCUUCCGAAGUUUCCUGUUCCUGCUCGAGAAAUCCGAAAGCCAAUCUGCGUUCUGCAUCAUGUCAUGUCCUAGUGUCGUACUGUUUAGUUAUAUGCCGAGAACAUCUCUUUCAUCAAAUGAAUAUUUGGAAACACCAACGCACUUGACGCUAAAUGGGAAUGAAGUGUGGAGUAUUUAAACGCC